GAAAGAAAGAAAGAAAAAAGCGAGAAAAUGAUCCAAGCAAAUCCAACAGAAAUCAUAAAUCACAGGUUAAACAAAGAAAGCACACAAGCAAUAGAAAACGAAUCCAUAAGCGGUAACAAAAAGAGCCAUCAUAUCAUCUCGUAAAGCAUAAAAUCCCUUCAAUUCUUUAGAAAAAUGAAAUACAAUUGGAUAUCAUACUCCGAAGUUUUCAUUCAAAU
Molecule: unclassified non-coding RNA, 218 nt
Filed under: Hevea brasiliensis (rubber tree)
Lineage: Eukaryota; Viridiplantae; Streptophyta; Magnoliopsida; Malpighiales; Euphorbiaceae
Source: RNAcentral